AGUGUCUUGACUUAAAAUGCAGGGCCUUUACUAAGACCCAAUGCUAAAUUUUGCAGUCUCGCCCAUCAUGGCGGGAUU
This is a non-coding RNA of Heterorhabditis bacteriophora, 78 nucleotides long. The record is from Rfam. NCBI's taxonomy places the organism in Eukaryota, Metazoa, Nematoda, Chromadorea, Rhabditida, Heterorhabditidae.